This 397-nucleotide ribosomal RNA is filed under the name uncultured bacterium. RNAcentral describes it as "partial 16S ribosomal RNA". It matches the Rfam family "Bacterial small subunit ribosomal RNA", at positions 523 to 918 of the family's 1533-position model. The record is from RNAcentral.
AUGCGUAGGUGACAAGCGUUAUCCGGAUUUACUGGGCGUAAAGGGCGUGUAGGCGGUCUUGCAAGUCAGAAGUGAAAUUCCUGAGCUCAACUCGGGCGCUGCUUCUGAAACUGCAGGACUUGAGUGCUGGAGGGGAUAGCGGAAUUCCUAGUGGAGCGGUAAAAUGCGCAGAUAUUAGGAAGAACACCGGUGGCGAAGGCGGCUAUCUGGACAGUAACUGACGCUGAGGCGCGAAAGUGUGGGGAGCAAACAGGAUUAGAUACCCUGGUAGUCCACACUGUAAACGAUGAAUGCUAGGUGUAAGAGGUAUCGACCCCUUUUGUGCCGGAGUCAACACAAUAAGCAUUCCGCCUGGGGAGUACGGCCGCAAGGUUGAAACUCAAAUGAAUUGGCGGGG